Molecule: ribosomal RNA, 443 nt
Filed under: uncultured bacterium
Lineage: Bacteria
Description: partial 16S ribosomal RNA
Rfam family: Bacterial small subunit ribosomal RNA
Source: RNAcentral
CCUACGGGGGGCAGCAGUGGGGAAUAUUGGGCAGUGGGCGCAAGCCUGACCCAGCAACGCCGCGUGAAGGAAGAAGGCUUUCGGGUUGUAAACUUCUUUUGUCAGGGACGAAGCAAGUGACGGUACCUGACGAAUAAGCCACGGCUAACUACGUGCCAGCAGCCGCGGUAAUACGUAGGUGGCAAGCGUUAUCCGGAUUUACUGGGUGUAAAGGGCGUGUAGGCGGGGAGGAAAGUCAGAUGUGAAAACCACGGGCUCAACCUGUGGCCUGCAUUUGAAACUGGUUUUCUUGAGGGCUGGAGAGGCAAUCGGAAUUCCGGGUGUAGCGGUGAAAUGCGUAGAUAUAUGGAAGAACACCAGUGGCGAAGGCGGCUCUCUGGUCUGCAACUGACGCUGAGGCUCGAAAGCAUGGGUAGCGAACAGGAUUAGAUACCCCUGUAGUC